ACGUGGGUAAUCUGCCCCGAUGACCGGGACAACCCGAGGAAACUCGGCCUAAUACCGGAUGAUGAGCCUCGGCGUAAGCCUUGUCUCUAAAGGAAGCUUCGGCCUCCGCAUUGGGAGGAGCCCGCGGCGCAUUAGCUUGUUGGUGGGGUAACGGCCUACCAAGGCGACGAUGCGUAGCUGGUCUGAGAGGACGAUCAGCCACACUGGGACUGAGACACGGCCCAGACUCCUACGGGAGGCAGCAGUGGGGAAUCUUGCGCAAUGCGCGAAAGCGUGACGCAGCAACGCCGCGUGGGGGAA
RNAcentral lists this ribosomal RNA (300 nucleotides) under uncultured Solirubrobacterales bacterium. Its description in RNAcentral is "bacterial SSU rRNA". It matches the Rfam family "Bacterial small subunit ribosomal RNA", at positions 115 to 409 of the family's 1533-position model. The record is from RNAcentral. Lineage: Bacteria; Bacillati; Actinomycetota; Thermoleophilia; Solirubrobacterales.